GACUAAUCUACAAAAUUUUUAAAGGUUUAGGUUUUUUCCAUUGAUGAAUGUACAUGUAUUUCGAUGUUUGAUGAUAGAAAAUCUAUGCUUGUUGUUAGAUAAACAACAUUUGAAAAGUGAUUUUUGGUACACUUGUCAAUUAGGGAUUAAAUUGAGAAAUGUAUAAAUUUUGUGGUAGAAAUGUGAAAUAAAUGAAAAAUAUGGGAUGCUAUGGUAAUAAGAGAAAUUUGGCUAGCAUAGGUAGGGAUCUAAUUGCAUGAAUUUGUAUUUUUAUGAGCUAAAGAC
Molecule: long non-coding RNA, 285 nt
Filed under: Gossypium barbadense (sea-island cotton)
Lineage: Eukaryota; Viridiplantae; Streptophyta; Magnoliopsida; Malvales; Malvaceae
Description: long non-coding RNA (GBAR_LNC002127)
Source: RNAcentral